GUUGUUGUUGUUUAGUCGUUUAGUCGUGUCCGACUCUUCAUGACCCCAUGGACCAGAGCACGCCAGGCACUCCUGUCUUCCACUGCCUCCCGCAGUUUGGUCAAACUCAUGCUGGUAGCUUCGAGAACACUAUCCAACCAUCUCGUCCUCUGUCGUUCCCUUCUCCUUGUGCCCUCCAUCUUUCCCAACAUGAGGGUCUUUUCCAGGGAGUGUUCUCUUCUCAUGAGGUGGCCAAAGUAUUGGAGUCUCAGCUUCAGGACCUGUCCUUCCAGCGAGCACUCAGGGCUGAUUUCCUUAAGAAUGGAUAGGUUUGAUCUUCUUGCAGUCCAUGGGACUCUCAAGAGUCUCCUCCAGCACCAUAAUUCAAAAGCAUCAAUUCUUUGGCGGUCAGCCUUCUUUAUGGUCCAGCUCUCACUUCCAUACAUCACUACUGGGAAAACCCUAGCUUUUACUAUACGGACCUUUGUUGGCAAGAUGAUGUCUCUGCUUUUUAAGAUGCUGUCUAGGUUUGUCAUUGCUUUUCUCCCAAGAAGUAGGCGUCUUUUAAUUUUGUGGCUGCUGUCACCAUCUGCAGUGAUCAUGGAGCUGAAGAAAGUAAAAUCUCACUGCCUCCAUUUUCCCCCCUUCUAUUUGCCAGGAGGUGAUGGGACCAGUGGCCAUGAUCUUCCUUUUUUUGAUGUUGAGCUUCAGACCAUAUUUUGUGCUCUCCUCUUUCACCCUCAUUAAAACGUUAUUUAAUUCCUCCUCACUUUCUGCCAUCAAUGUUGUGUCAUCUGCAUAUCUGAGGUUGUUGAUAUUUCUUCCGGCAAUCUUAAUUCCAGCUAGGGAUUCAUCCAGCCCAGCCUUUCGCAUGAUGAAUUCUGCAUAUAAGUUAAAUAAGCAGGGAGACUAUAUAUUAUAGUAUAUUAAUAGUGAAAUACAAUUAAGAAGUAUAUUACUAGUGAAAUACAAUUAAGAAAAAGUAUAUUUUUGGGGGGCCCCCAAGAGAGUGGGGCCCUAAGCUAUAGCUUGUUUAGGUUAUACAUAAAUCCGGCACUGGGUCCUAUUGCAAAAUGUUUCAGUGUUGAGUGCUUCUUUUCAGGUACUAGCUAGCCACACAAUUCCAUUCCCUCCCUAGGGUUUCCUUCACCACAGUAGUAAGUCAGCAUUCAGGACCUAUAAGCAGGCUCAGUUCUCAUUAGCCUGUUUGAGUGUUUGCCAUUGCCUCUUCCCACAUUUUGGUUUUUCUCCCAGCCACAUUGAUGUCUAUGGGCUGCUCUCUUUUCUAACCUUGGGGACAUUUUAAAACAGUGUGAAGUAGAAAAUGAUCUAUCCAGAUGAUGAGAUGUUUCUUUCUAUCCCUUUCUAUGUCUCUGUGUUGUUUCCUCCCUUUCCAGCCACUCCACUCCAUCCCCGCCUCCUGCCCACUUUUUUGUUUUUCACUUAAGUUUCUCAAAAUUCUUGGUUUUCAUUCGACUCUUUUCCGCUUAUGUCCUCUUAAAGUUUUUUUUAAAAAAUAACUUCUGCAAUCCUUGGGUUACUCUGAGUCUGCUGACUGUUCUCUCUUGUGUGCAGUGUUGGCUAUACAAGCAUAAGCAAGGAAAUUUUUUGAAUUGGUAUUAAAAAGAAUAUUUAUUUUUAUAUAUUAAGGAUAUUUCCAACCCACCCUUUCACACAAUGGAUCCCAGGAUGGAGCACAUUACAUGAUUAUAAAACACAAUCCAAAAUGUGAUGAAAAUACAUUACUGCUGAAAAGCCAUCCUUAUGGUUGCCUAUAAUUAAAAAUAUAUAACAGAAUGAGCUCUGCAAGAGAGGAUAAAAUUAAUUUAAAAAUGGUUUCUUCAGCUAUGUUCGAAGCAAGAGGAAGAACAAGCAAGUGAUAGGUCCUCUGGGUGGAGAAGACGGAGAAAUGUUAUUAGGCGACAGAGAGAAGGGGAACUGCUCAACAUAUACUUUGGAAGACAUUCUACAUUUGUAGGGAAGCCACUGAGAAUACUUCAUUAGGCAUUUUUCUGUUCAUGUUUGGAGCUGUUAAUAUUUAUAACUAGGAAGUGUUCUAUAGGACAAAAAUAUUGUCUUGUAUUAUCCCUGUGGAACAAUAGGGAGACACUACAGAGGCCACUAAAGAUAGCUUAUACGGUACAGCACUACAUUCUACAAUUUCACUACUUCUUGUUGUUGUUGUUUAGUCGUUUAGUCGUGUCCGACUCUUCGUGACCCCAUGGACCAGAGCACGCCAGGCACUUCUGUGUUCCACUGCCUCCUGCAGUUUAGUCAAACUCAUGCUGAUAGCUUUGAGAACACUAUCCAACCAUCUCGUCCUCUGUCGUCCCCUUCUCCUUGUGCCUUCCAUCUUUCCCAACAUGAGGGUCUUUUCCAGGGAGUCUUCUCUUCUCAUGAGGUGGCCAAAGUAUUGGAGCCUCAGCUUCAGCAUCUGUCCUUCCAGUGAGAACUCAGGGCUGAUUUCCUUCAGAAUGGAUAGGUUUGAUCUUCUUGCAGUCCAUGGGACUCUCAAGAGUCUCCUCCAGCACCAUAAUUCAAAAGCAUCAAUUCUUCGGUGAUCAGCCUUCUUUAUGGUCCCGCUCUCACUUCCACAGUACUCAUUUCACUACUACCACCUCGUAAUUCCUCAUUCUUGUACUACAUUGAACAGUUUCAUUACUGCUAGUUUUCACAAUGAUUCCAUAUGAUCAAUGGACUACAAUUUCAUUUUCUGUUCUCUAGACA
This 2706-nucleotide long non-coding RNA is filed under the name Podarcis lilfordi (Lilford's wall lizard). The record is from RNAcentral. Lineage: Eukaryota; Metazoa; Chordata; Lepidosauria; Squamata; Lacertidae.